This 602-nucleotide long non-coding RNA is filed under the name Ursus maritimus (polar bear). RNAcentral's name for it is "lncRNA (ENSUMAG00000000055.1)". The record is from RNAcentral. Lineage: Eukaryota; Metazoa; Chordata; Mammalia; Carnivora; Ursidae.
UCAUGUAAGUAAUUAUCAUAGGAAAGAGAGGAAAUGUUUUGACAAAUGGUCUUCUGUAGUUUCAGAACAUCGCCAUACUCCAGUGCUGGCCAAGCUUGAGGAAGCCCAUCACACCCAAACUGUCUCACAAUCACAACUAAAAACUAGACAGAGUACAGGAAGCAACUACCCCAACACGGAGGAGUUAACUCACGGAGAGACUGAGAAGAGGCCAGAUUUGAAGAACAACAGUUAGGAGAGAAACAUACCUUAAUCUGAGCCCUGAGGAAAUGUGGGAUCUCUGUGCCCUUAGAGAAACACUAUUGGAUAAAUGAAAGACAACAAAGGAUAUAUCAAAUGUAGUUACUCAGAAAUGAAGAUAAGAGGAAAUCCUCAGGAAGACAUAGCACCCCGAAUGCCUGAGGAAGUGAAACGAGGGUUCAUCAAAACCUCAGGUGAGGGGCACGUGGGUGGCUCAGUCAGCUAAGUGUCUGUUUUGUCUCAGGUCAUGAUCUUGGGAUCCUGAGAUCGAGCUCCACAUCGUGCUUCUCCCUCUGCCACUGCCCCUGCUUGUGCUCUCUCUCUUAAAUAAAAACAUAAAUAAAAUCUUAAAAAAAAAAAAA